This 250-nucleotide ribosomal RNA is filed under the name uncultured bacterium. RNAcentral describes it as "partial 16S ribosomal RNA". It matches the Rfam family "Bacterial small subunit ribosomal RNA", at positions 524 to 773 of the family's 1533-position model. The record is from RNAcentral.
UACGUAGGGUGCGAGCGUUGUCCGGAAUUAUUGGGCGUAAAGAGCUCGUAGGCGGUGUGUCGCGUCGGCCGUGAAAACCUGGGCUCAACUCUGGGCGUGCGGUCGAUACGGGCAUCACUGGAGUUCGGCAGGGAGACUGGAAUUCCUGGUGUAGCGGUGGAAUGCGCAGAUAUCAGGAGGAACACCGGUGGCGAAGGCGGCUUGCUGGGCCAGUUCGUGACGCUGAGGAGCGAAAGCGUGGGGAGCGAAC